CGCACAUCACUAACCCCACCCACCCCCACCUACAUGAUUCAUUAAUCAUUAGUGAUCAGUCAGUGGAUGAGUGCUUGUUAAAGUAAUCUUGUUAUUGAAGUAGUAUUUUCGUCAUAAACUAUUUGACAAUUCAUAAGGACUUUAGGGAUUUAUUGCUCUACAGCUAUAGGAGGCAACUUGCAAUGGAGUCUUCAUAUUUGUUGAAAGAGCCGCAGAUCGAGCAGAGUUCAUGGAGCUUUCCAUU
This is a long non-coding RNA of Homalodisca vitripennis (glassy-winged sharpshooter), 244 nucleotides long. RefSeq lists it as uncharacterized. NCBI's taxonomy places the organism in Eukaryota, Metazoa, Arthropoda, Insecta, Hemiptera, Cicadellidae. The record is from RefSeq and is a predicted model, not a curated record. The transcript has 3 exons.